GAUGAAGAACGUAGCGAAAUGCGAUACGUAAUGUGAAUUGCAGAAUUCAGUGAAUCAUCGAAUCUUUGAACGCAUAUUGCGCUCUCAGGUAUUCCGGAGAGCAUGCUUGUUUGAGUAUCAGUAAACACCUCAACUUCCAUAUCUUUUUUUAAAUGGGAGUUGGACUUGAGUGAUCCCAACGCUUUUCCUCACCGAAAAGUGGCGGGUUACUUGAAAUGCAGGUGCAGCUGGACUUUUCUCUGAGCUAUAAGCAUAUCUAUUUAGUCUGCCUAAAAAACAGAUUAUUACCUUUGCUGCAGCUAACAUAAAGGAGAUUAGUUCUUGUGCUGACUGAUGCAGGAUUCACAAAGACAGCUUCGGCCGACUUUGUAAACUCGAUCUCAAAUCAAGUAAGACUACCCGCUGAACUUAAGCAUAUCAAUAAGCGGAGGA
This 432-nucleotide unclassified non-coding RNA is filed under the name soil metagenome. Its description in RNAcentral is "partial contains 5.8S ribosomal RNA, internal transcribed spacer 2, and large subunit ribosomal RNA". The stretch from base 1 to 120 matches the Rfam family "5.8S ribosomal RNA", at positions 35 to 154 of the family's 154-position model. The record is from RNAcentral.